Oncorhynchus tshawytscha (Chinook salmon) is the source of this 356-nucleotide long non-coding RNA. The record is from Ensembl. NCBI's taxonomy places the organism in Eukaryota, Metazoa, Chordata, Actinopteri, Salmoniformes, Salmonidae.
CAGAAAUGUUAAGUUUGUUCUCUUCAGCUCGCCCCAAAGCAUUCCAUUUCACACACACACACACACACACACACACACAUACACACACACACACACACACACACACACACACACACACACACACACACACACACACACACACACACACACACACACACACACACACACACACACACAUUUACUGCUAGCUAGGGCAGGUUGUGGCCUCUCUCCCAGUUCAAACAAACCAGGUGUGUUUUCUACAUUAAAAGGCCUUCUGCUGUAGUUCCACUAACGUGUUUUCUGAGGUGAAAGCCUAACGUGUUUUCUGAGGUGAAAGCCUAACGUGUUUUCUGAGGUGAAAGCCUAACGUGUUU